RNAcentral lists this long non-coding RNA (1468 nucleotides) under Homo sapiens (human). RNAcentral's name for it is "HSALNT0268569". Lineage: Eukaryota; Metazoa; Chordata; Mammalia; Primates; Hominidae. The record is from RNAcentral.
GUGAGCCUCCAUAACCAUCAAAAUCACAGGGUUGGGAUGUACCCUAUGGAUAUACUUGCACAAGAACACAGUUGCAAUUUGUCAUGGCAAAAGCCUGCAAGCCACCAUCACUAAGGAACUGGCUGUUUACAUCCUGCUCUGUGUCCACCAUGGAACGCCACACAGCCUUGAAAAAGGAGGGUGCUCUCUACGUACUGAUAUCAUCAAGAUCUACUGUUGCUGAAAAUCACAAGGCACAGAACUAGUGUGUAGAGUCCUCUGAUAUCUGUAAGAAAGCAAAGCAAAUACAUGCUUUUGCCCACAUGUUCACAGAACCCUUCUGAAAAGCAACACAAAAGACUGUCACAGUGAGGAGCUGAGAGGGUGAAGACAAAUGUAAGAGGGAGACUGGCUUUUCACUGCACGCUUGUUGUACCUUUGGUAUUUGGUGCCACAUGGUAUUAUCUAUGGACAAAAUGAGUUAAAGUUAUACACGAUGCGCAAGUGCUCCAUUUGUGGAUAUAGGAAAAUGCUUGUGAUAAAGUAUUGAGAGAAAAGAAGAUGGCCUAAUUUAUAUAAUGCAUGAUUCACAUAUAUCCAUGAGCUGUCUCUGUAAGUAUAUCCCACAUAUAUCUGUAACUAUAGAGAGAAAUGUCUAAAAAUACUAUCAGCAAAUUAGCAAAUGAAGUUGCUACUAUUCACGCACUAAAUGCAUUGAUUCAUUUCCUGACAACAACAGGGCAAGGUGGACAGACUGCUAUUAUCCUCAUCGCACAGAUGAGGAAACAGAGGCUCUAGAAGUGAAGUUACCUGACCAAGGGCUCACAGCCAAGGGGAGGCAGAGCUGGGAUUUGAACCUCAACCACAGGACUAGAGAUGCCUCUCAAUUGCAAAUUGGGUAGUGUCUCUUUUUGCUUUGAAUUUUCAGCAUUCUUAAAAGUUGAGCCAAUGAACCCAAGUCUCUCUCUCCUUCUACUGCCACUUUACUUUUAAACAAGACUUUUCAGAAAAAACCCUAAGAACAUCCCAUGUCCCCCAAGUCAGCAGCCCCCGUUUCCUGGCACUCACAUCCCCAGGGAAUUCCCCUGGCAGUUCCUGGUAUAGGAAACCAUGAGAGUGGUUUUUAAAAAAAGUCAAGCAAUGCAGUGAGCCGGGAUCGCACCACUGCACUCCAGCCUGGGCAACAGAGCGAGACUCCGUCUCAAAAAAAAAAAAAAAAAAAAGGAGUCAAGCAAGAGCCGGGAGAAUGUUCCAUGUCCCAGAUAAAAGGACACUAAAGAGAUGUGCCACCAAAGGCAGGGCCUAACCCUUGGUACCAGGAAAAAUAAAGAAAAAAAACAGAUGAAAAAUGGUUAUAAAGGGCACUUUGGAGCAGUCCAAGUCAUUUGAACAUGGCCUGGAGACUAGGUAAUGUAAUUGAAUCAAUGCUAAAUUUCUCAGGAGUGAUCUUGGCACUAUGGUUACGUGGGAGAACACUCUUGUCCUUCGG